AUUGCAGGCUGCAACUCGCCUGCAUGAAGUCGGAAUUGCUAGUAAUCGUAGGUCAGCAUACUACGGUGAAUACGUUCCCGGGCCUUGUACACACCGCCCGUCAAACCAUGGGAGCCGGGAGUGCCUGAAGUCCGUGACCGCGAGGAGCGGCCUAGGGUAAGACCGGUGACUGGGGCUAAGUCGUAACAAGGUACC
Molecule: ribosomal RNA, 195 nt
Filed under: uncultured bacterium
Lineage: Bacteria
Description: partial 16S ribosomal RNA
Rfam family: Bacterial small subunit ribosomal RNA
Source: RNAcentral